GACGAACCGUGCAAACGUUAUUCGGAAUCACUGGGCAUAAAGGGCGCGUAGGCGGCUCCAAAAGUCAGGGGUGAAAUCCGGCAGCUUAACUGUCGCAGUGCCUUUGAUACUGUGGAGCUAGAGGGAGGUAGGGGUCUGUGGAACUUCCGGUGGAGCGGUGAAAUGCGCAGAUAUCAGGAGGAACACCGGUGGCGAAGGCGGUUCUCUGGGCCUUACCUGACACUGAGGAGCGAAAGCGUGGGGAGCGAACAGG
RNAcentral lists this ribosomal RNA (253 nucleotides) under uncultured bacterium. RNAcentral describes it as "partial 16S ribosomal RNA". It matches the Rfam family "Bacterial small subunit ribosomal RNA", at positions 524 to 776 of the family's 1533-position model. The record is from RNAcentral.